Molecule: unclassified non-coding RNA, 401 nt
Filed under: soil metagenome
Description: partial contains 5.8S ribosomal RNA, internal transcribed spacer 2, and large subunit ribosomal RNA
Rfam family: 5.8S ribosomal RNA (bases 1-121)
Source: RNAcentral
GAUGAAGAACGUAGUGAAAUGCGAUAAGUAAUGUGAAUUGCAGAAUUCAGUGAAUCAUCGAAUCUUUGAACGCACCUUGCGCCCCUUGGUUAUUCCAAAGGGCAUGCCUGUUUCAGUAUCAUGAACACCUCAACUCUUGUGGUUUCCCACAAUGAGCUUGGACUGUGGAGGUUUUGUUGGCCCUGUGGUCAGCUCCUCUCAAAUGGAUCAGCUUACCGGUGUUUGGUGGCAUUACGGGUGUGAUAACUAUCUACGCUCGUGGUCGUCUCCAAAUAACCUCCAGUGAUGGAGGUUCGCUGGAGCUUAUAAAUGUCUCUCCCCAGUGAAGACAGCCUUUGAACGUUCGAUCUCAAAUCAGGUAGGACUACCCGCUGAACUUAAGCAUAUCAAUAAGCGGAGGA